RNAcentral lists this ribosomal RNA (253 nucleotides) under uncultured bacterium. RNAcentral's name for it is "partial 16S ribosomal RNA". It matches the Rfam family "Bacterial small subunit ribosomal RNA", at positions 524 to 776 of the family's 1533-position model. The record is from RNAcentral.
UACGUAGGUGGCAAGCGUUAUCCGGAUUUAUUGGGCGUAAAGGGAACGCAGGCGGUCUUUUAAGUCUGAUGUGAAAGCCUUCGGCUUAACCGGAGUAGUGCAUUGGAAACUGGGAGACUUGAGUGCAGAAGAGGAGAGUGGAACUCCAUGUGUAGCGGUGAAGUGCGUAGAUAUAUGGAAGAACACCAGUGGCGAAAGCGGCUCUCUGGUCUGUAACUGACGCUGAGGUUCGAAAGCGUGGGUAGCAAACAGG